This 1651-nucleotide ribosomal RNA is filed under the name uncultured Sedimentibacter sp. RNAcentral describes it as "bacterial SSU rRNA". It matches the Rfam family "Bacterial small subunit ribosomal RNA". The record is from RNAcentral. Lineage: Bacteria; Bacillati; Bacillota; Tissierellia.
AGAGUUUGAUCCUGGUUCAGGACGAACGCUGGCGGCGUGCCUAACACAUGCAAGUCGAACGAGAUUUACCUUUCACUGAGUGCUCGAACAACUACAUCAAGCACGAAGUGCUUCACGCGUAUUCCAAGUACCAACACACUUGGAAAAUACGAAAUAGUUUGUUACACCAAUAUCUCGAUAUAUUUGGUGAAGAACUGAAGUGCUUCACGUGUAUUCCAAGUACCAACACACUUGGAAAAUACGAAAUAGUUUGUUACACCAAUAUCUCAAUAUAUUUGGUGAAGAACUGAAGUGCUUCACGCUAAUUCCAAGUGACAACACACUUGAUGAUUCGAGAACUAAGUGAAAGGUGAAUCUAGUGGCGGACGGGUGAGUAACGCGUGAACAAUCUUCCCUAUACAAAGGAAUAGCCUCGGGAAACCGGGAUUAAAACCAUAUAACACUUUUUGAUCGCAUGAUUGAGAAGUCAAAUUGAUUAGAGGUAUAGGAUGAGUUCGCGUCUGAUUAGCUAGUUGGCGGGGUAACGGCCCACCAAGGCGACGAUCAGUAGCCGGCCUGAGAGGGUGAACGGCCACACUGGAACUGAGACACGGUCCAGACUCCUACGGGAGGCAGCAGUGGGGAAUAUUGCACAAUGGAGGAAACUCUGAUGCAGCGACGCCGCGUGAGUGAAGAAGGUCUUCGGAUCGUAAAACUCUGUCCUUGUGAAGAAAGAAAUGACGGUAGCCAAGGAGGAAGCCCCGGCUAACUACGUGCCAGCAGCCGCGGUAAUACGUAGGGGGCGAGCGUUGUCCGGAUUUACUGGGCGUAAAGGGUGAGUAGGCGGUAAUAUGUGUCAGAUGUAAAAGGCGUAGGCUCAACUUACGUUAGCAUUUGAAACCGUAUUACUUGAGUGCAGGAGAGGUAAGCGGAAUUCCUAGUGUAGCGGUGAAAUGCGUAGAUAUUAGGGAGGAACACCAGUGGCGAAGGCGACUUACUGGACUGUAACUGACGCUGAGUCACGAAAGCGUGGGUAGCAAACAGGAUUAGAUACCCUGGUAGUCCACGCUGUAAACGAUGAGUGCUAGGUGUUGGGUAGCGAUAUUCAGUGCCGAAGUAAACACAAUAAGCACACCGCCUGGGGAGUACGGUCGCAAGACUGAAACUCAAAGGAAUUGACGGGGACCCGCACAAGCAGCGGAGCAUGUGGUUUAAUUCGAAGCAACGCGAAGAACCUUACCAAGGCUUGACAUCCCCUUGACCGGCACAGAGAUGUGCCCUCUCCUUCGGGAGCAAGGGUGACAGGUGGUGCAUGGUUGUCGUCAGCUCGUGUCGUGAGAUGUUGGGUUAAGUCCCGCAACGAGCGCAACCCUUAUCCUUAGUUGCCAGCAUUAACGAUGGGCACUCUAAGGAGACUGCCGAUGAUAAAUCGGAGGAAGGUGGGGAUGACGUCAAAUCAUCAUGCCCCUUAUGUCUUGGGCUACACACGUGCUACAAUGGUCGGUACAAAGGGGAGCGAAGGAGUGAUCUGAGCAAAUCCCAAUAAACCGAUCUCAGUUCGGAUUGUAGGUUGCAACUCGCCUACAUGAAGUCGGAGUUGCUAGUAAUCGCGAAUCAGAACGUCGCGGUGAAUGCGUUCCCGGGUCCUGUACACACCGCCCGUCACACCAUG